UAAACUUUUGAUCCGGUUGCC
This 21-nucleotide non-coding RNA is filed under the name Caenorhabditis elegans. Lineage: Eukaryota; Metazoa; Nematoda; Chromadorea; Rhabditida; Rhabditidae. The record is from RNAcentral.